RNAcentral lists this long non-coding RNA (8269 nucleotides) under Mytilus galloprovincialis (Mediterranean mussel). Lineage: Eukaryota; Metazoa; Mollusca; Bivalvia; Mytilida; Mytilidae. The record is from RNAcentral.
GGAGGGAAAAUGUAAAUAAAUUUUGUGCAUGUGCAACGUUCUGGUGGAGGAUUUCAUUACAAUUUGGAAUAACUUGUAAAUAUGUUAACAUUUUUAAAAACUAAUCGGUUAAGGGAACACAGCUAGCUGUGUGUGCUCCAACGUUGGAGGGAUUUACUUAAAGAAGAAGAAGAAUGCAGACAACAAGCUGGGUUAUUUUACGAUUUUUGUUCAUUUUUUCUUCUUCUUCUUCUUCUUUCAGUACAGAGUCGGACUCUUCUUGAGUGUAUAAAUGACUCUUGCUCGUGAAAUCAUGAGGCCUUCCCUCCUCACUUAAUAAAAACUAUUAUCAGGAAAAUUAUUUACAAAUAAAACUAUGUACAUCUGGGGUCAAAGGAGAUCUAGGUGUGUGAAGCUCCUGUCAAGGCCUCUGGCAGGAUGGUAAGGCUGGCCUUGAACUCUUCUAGUGUAGCUGCUGUUGUGGCUUUUUCCGGUAGAGUGUUCCAUUCCCUGGUUGAUCUUGGGAAGAAGGAGUAACUGUAUUGGUCUUUUAGAGUGCGCUGUUGGUGUAUGCGGUGGCCUCCUCUGGUCCUUGAAUCUCCGGGUUUGUAAUUAUUAGAGGGGUCAAUAUCCACCAAAUCUAUUGCGGAUCUUGUAUGCCAUGGUGAGUCGGUCUUUGCAGCGGCGAUUUUUAAGAGGCUCCCAUUUUAGUCUCUCCAUUAAGGAGCUGACACAACCUGGGGAUACGUCUUGGUAUUCAUUGUACACGAACCUAGCUGCCCUUCUCUGUACUUGUUCUAGGUCUUUUUCAAGGUUAUGUUGGUAAUGGUCCCAUACAGUGGAGGCGUAUUCCAGGGUUGGUCUGACCAUGAUGAUGUAGGCGUUAGCUUGACUUCUGGUUUACACCGUCCUAGGUUCCUUCUCAGAAAGCCUAGUGUCCUUGAUGCUUUGCCUACCGUCUGGUUGAUAUGUGUCUUCCACUGUAGGUCAUGAUUUAUGGUGACUCCCAGGUAUUUCCCAUGCUCGACUGCAUCUAGUGUGUGACCAUGUAGUUUUUAUAUUCAAGCAUAAUUGGAAAUGAAUAAGUUUUGUCACAGUGAUGUUAGCCUACACUUUUAUAUUUUUAUAUACAUGCAUGUAUGGCUAAGGCAGCAACCAUUCUAUUUUUUUGGCGACAAGUAGAAAACAAUUUUUUUCUUUCAAUUUUAGCAUUACAUAAAGUGGCAGCUGAGGUAGUCCAAAUAAUUAUGACGUCUGGCAAGGCAAUUUUUUUUUUCUUUCUGGGAUGUACAUUUUAGGAAGGCAUCCCAGAAAAAAAAUAAAAUAGUCCCAGAAAAAAAAUAAAAUAGCCUUGCCAGACGUCAUAAUUGUUUUAACUACAGCUGAGGGUGAAACAAACAAUUUUUUUUUCUCAGGGUCAAAAACAAAUUAUUUUUUUCUCCAAAAACUGGCAACAAAAAUCAGCAGUCCCCCCCGAAAAUCAAUUGGUUGCUGCCUAAGUUGGUGUGAUGUGCUCAUAUUUUGAAAAUAUUGUCUGAACAAUGGAACUGUGUCUGUAGAUAGUGUAGUUGACUUUGCUUGCUGUAGCAUAUUUAUUCAUAUAAUUUUUUAGAGUUAUUGUUAUAAAAUUAUAGCAUGAAAGAUUUCCUAGGCAAUUGUGACAACUGCAGUGACGACAGAUAUUUUUAAAGUGCUUUCAUUGGAAAAAGAGACAUGUAUAAUUAUUUGUCAGAAAUUUCUUUACAAUUACUUAAAUCUGACAUUCCAUUGUACACCACCGGUCCUACUAAAAAGCGCCCGGGAGAAUACAAUAAAUAAUAUUUUAUAACAAUAAAUUUUUUCCUAAAAAAAAAUAAUCAUUGAUUGUUUUGUCCUUAAUUUAAAUGGGGUUAUGUACGAUGCUACAUUUUUACAUCUAAAGUCUUGUUGCAUUUUUACAUUUUAGAUUUCAAAAUUGUAUAUAAGUAAGUCAAUAAAUAUAAAUAAGUAUAUAUAUAUAUAUAUAUAUAGAAGAAUCAUGAUUGAUAUUGUCCUCGAUUAAAACGUAUAUUUUGUUAUUUAAAAAUAAAUCUUCAGCAUAAACUGUGAUCCAUUAUUAUCUGUCUUUGAAAUAGUAUUCAUAUAUUAUUGUUAAAAUUGAAACCUUCAUACAUGUUUUUGUGCUUUAAUACAAAUGUAUAAUAUCAAAAAUUGCAAAUUACUUGUCUAAAAUUAAAGAAAAAAAUCAAUAUGCAAUACUUAUUUCAACGACACAAAGUUGUCUCAUGCCAAUAAAUUAUCUAUAAAUUUUCCCCGGGCGCCUUUUCUUUUCUCCGGGCGCUAUUUUUUCUUCCCUGGGCACUUUUUCUUUUCCCCAGGCGUUGUUUCUUUUCCCCGGGAGCUGUUUCUUCACCUGGGCGCAUUUUAGUAGGACCCUACACCACAACUGAGGAUCUGUGAAAUAAUCAUAGAAAUGUUAUCAUCGAAACAACUUACAACAAAUAUCGAAGGAAACAUUGUGGUGUGCCUUCAGUAAAUGUAAUUUUGAAGUACCAUUUUAAAUCUGAUAAUACUACAAAAGCAGGGGUUCAACAUGUUGUACCCGAGAUGUUUCAAAGAAUUGUUACAACUUUAGACAGACAGUUUUAUUCCUAUUGGAAUAAGUAAGUAGAUAGUAGUUACCUAAUAACAUUUUUCUGUGAAAAAGAUACAGUGAUCAUAAAAGCUCUUAUAAGACCAAAAAGUAAACGUUCACGCCCAUUCACGUUCUCACCCAUUCACAAUGGCACCCUUUCACUUUCGCACCAUACACGUUUGCGCCCAUCUUUUAUUGGUUUUGUGUUUAAUAACUUUGUAAUCAAGUUUUGGCAAGUGUAUAAUAUAUUUGUUGUCAUUGUCCUAAAUUAAAGUGAGACAACAUGUUUUUUUGUGUUGAAUAAAUCUUAAUCUUGUUUUGGUUAAGUGUAUUGCUAACUUUUAUUUCAUUGUUUCAAAAUAAAGAGUGACUAUGACAACAUAUUUUUUUGUGUUGAAUAAAUUUUAAUCAUGUUUUGGUAAGUGCAUUGCUAUGAUUUUUUGUUUCAUUGUUUCAGAUCAAAUUAAAGGGCCUAUAAGCUGUUUAAUAAAAUCUUUUGUGUUUUUCAUUUAAAAUCUUCAAUGUAUUUACUCAUACCAAGCUAAAUACAUGCAGUAUUUUCAUCAAAUCAAUUAAAAACAACAAUCUUGAUUUUCUAAUUAUCCAACUGAAAUUUUAUUUAAAAUUUGGUGCGAAUGUGCGAGGUGCAAACGUGAAGGAAGCGAAAGUGUAUUGGGCGCCAACAAACCUGAUACCCUGUCAGGUACCCCCCCCUCCCCCCCAAAAAAAAAAUAAUAAAAAAUAUAUAAUGAAACAAACAAAAAAACAAAAGCAACAAAGAAACAACAAAAAAAACUUUUCUUUAAUCCCCCUUUUUUAAACUAUUAAACAUUAAAUUACAUGAACCUAUUUUAAUCUUGUUUUUGAGAGACAAAAAUUAUAACAUGAAUGCUGUUUCAUGUCUCCUUUCCUUUACCAGAUUUGUAAGGUUUUGUACAUGAUAAUCACAUCAUUUCAUGCAAGUCCUUAUGAAAUAAAAAAUGUUGCGGCAAGAAUGCUGCACUGUUGUGGCUUAUAAACCGCAACCUGGUGAGGUUGUCAGAACAUUGCUGCCGUAGUAGUGCUGAAUGAUGCCAGUACUGACAUCAUUCUGGCUUCAUUGCAGCGCUAUUUCCAUUCAUGACAAAAAGCGGUGCAAUGUUGCCAUAAAGCAAACAUAUACUUUUCUCAUUUCUCAUUCUAAAUAUACUAGAAUGAUGCCAGAAUAGAUCCAGAUCAUUGAUGAUGUCACCAUAUGUUGCUUGAGCUUAUGAUUUUAGUGAAGAAUGGGGUGUUCAAUUAUUGUUAAGACUUGAACAUGUAUGUAAAUGUAGAUUAACAUGAUUAAGUAAAUGCAUUAUAUAAAAGUUCAAUCUCUGAUCAAUGAAAUUGUCAUAUCCUGAUAGACCUGGAGAGCAUUUUCAAAAAAUCGUAAUUUACUCCAGGGACGAACUAUCAUGUAAUGGGGCGAAUUGGUCCCUUCUGAAACAUUAGUUGUCGUUUCCCUUCCCUUUCUCAAUUUAACCCUCGCUAAAUUUUACUGAGCAUGCAGAAAGAGGUUUGGUCAAUUGUGUCUUUGUUACCCUCUAAAGUCAGCUAGCUUGAAAGUGCUAUUUGUUUGAAAAAAAAAUGAAGUACAAAAAUGUAUAAUCACAAAUUUAGAUUGCUAAUCAGACAAAACACAACACCUUUGACUGAAGUGAGGGGUCUCCUGUUGGCGUCAUGGAAAUUAUGUUGUUGUUAUUGAAGGUAUUGAUGUUGCAUGUUGACAGUUCACGAGUUACACAUUUUAACUCUCCUUUUUUUUAAUGUGGAAAAAUUAAGUGCAUUACAUAUAGGAAUAACCUCUGAGGAUAGAACUUUACUUUCUUUAAAAAAAAAAGUUAUUAUAAUAACCCUGAGUGCACAAAAAAAUUCAUGAUUUUAAUUAAAGGAGUUCAAACCUUUUCUCGGGUAAACUCAGCACUAUACAUACAUACAUGUAUGUACCUGGUUAGACAUUACUUUACCUUUUUUAAUAGUCACUAAUUUAAGGAAGUCAGAAUUUAAAGGCAUAAGUGCCGCAAUAGUGCCCACAAACUAAUUUGCAUACAUAAUAAACAAUAUCUGCAUUGAACCCACAACAUGUUGGGGCAAAGAAGCAGCAUUUUCUGGCAAUGGUGCCUGAUAAUAAUUUUCAUACUAAAUAUGUUAUUGCAGCAUCGUUGUUUAAAAGACAAAUGUAUCUACUAGCUAUUUGAACAUCAGUUAAUGAUCUUGUCUGCAUUGAUUCAACUUAAACUAUUGUCUUGAUCGGUUGUCAGGUGGAAUUUUUGAAAAUUCUUGAAAAUUUUUAAAAAAUCUGAUUAAAUAUUUUGUGGAAGGGCAGACUAAAAAUUUCAGUGGUUGAGGAUUAUAAAUCCUAGUUAUCACACACAAAAACCUAUAUUUUUUCGAAGAUAUGCAUUUUCAUCAUCCAACUUAAAAGACUGUCGUCAAGUACUUUUAAAUUAGAAAAAAUAGCUAUUCGAACUACUCUGUUUUUGUGAUUCAUUAUAUAGGUAGUUCACUUGACCCAUAUAUUUUAUCUUUUCGUAAUGUGAUUGUUUUAUGUUCAGUUAUAAAGUCAACCUGUAGCUUUGAUACAUGUAUAUAAAGUGAUAGAAUUUGAAGCGAGAUGAUACAUGUAUAUCAAAUACUCUUGCUUGGUACGUUUUAAAGACAAAAUUACACCUCAAACACGCCGUAAUAUAAAAAGGUGCACUCGAUUUUCUCUUUUCGAUGCAAUUGUUACCCAUUUUUUGAUUUUUUUCUCGAUUCACACAAUGGAAGGGCAGACAAAAAAAAUUACUGAACUUAUACAUUGUAAUAGAUUGAUAUGUUCUCCGUCCGUGGUACAUGUAAUUUUUUUUUAUGCCCCACCUACGAUAGUAGAGGGGCAUUAUGUUUUCUGGUCUGUGCGUCCGUUCGUUCGUCGUCUUUCGUUCCCGACUGUCCCGCUUCAGGUUAAAGUUUUUGGUCGAGGUAGUUUUUGAUGAAGUUGAAGUCCAAUCGACUUCAAACUUGGUACACAUGUUCCCUAUGAUAUGAUCUUUCUAAUUUUAAUGCCAAAUUAGAGAUUUUACCCCAAUUUCACGGUCCACUGAACAUAGAAAAUGAUAGUGCGAGUGGGGCAUUCGUGUACUGAGGACACAUUCUUGUUUAAAUCAGAGGUUAUGCAUGCCAUUUUCUACAUCCAACUUGAUAGAUACCCAUGUCGUCGACUUGAUAUAUAAUUGUUCUGCAUUAUACUAUGUAAUAGAUAAAUUGAAAACUUAUGCAAAUGGUGUUUUUAAAAUAAAACACUUUGUAAUUGAGAAGAAAAUUGUUGUUUUAUUUGCUCUCUUUAACUUUUAAAAUUUUUGUUACUAUAGUAAUCAUUACAAUAAGCAUUUAUCGCCCUCUCUAACAAAGAGUUUCGAUUCUUUUGUUCUAUAUCAACUGGGUUUCUGCCUGUGUUUACUUGAGAUAGGUUUUAAAAUUCAUGUUUUUAUGUACAUACAAGUAGAAAUAGUAAAUAGUUUUGAUAGUGAUACACAGAAUGAGAUCAAUUGUGUAUCUAUUUUCUAAUUUUUAUUUUAUAUUACAGCAAUUUGUAGACUGUGUAGAGAAAAACUACUUGGAAUUAACAGUAUUGAACAUGUUGAGGAGGUAUGUCUUUUCAUAUACAUGUAAAUAUAUAAUUCCCUGUAUACUGGUACACAUAAAAUUGAGAAUGGAAAUGGGUAAUGUGCCAAAGAGACAACAACCCGACCAUAGAAAAAAACAACAGCAGAAGGUCACCAACAGGUCUUCAAUGUAGCGAGAAAUUUACGCACCCGGAGGCGUCCUUCAACUGGCCCCUAAACAAAUAUAUACUAGUUCAGUGAUAAUGAACGCCAUACUAAUUUCCAAAUUGAUCACAAGAAACUAAAAUUAAAAAUAAUACAAGACUAACAAAGGCCAGAGGCUCCUGACUUGGGACAGGCGCAAAAAUGUGGCGGGGUUAAACAUGUUUGUGAGAUCUCAACCCCCCCCCUAUACCUCUAGCCAAUGUAGAAAAGUAAACGCAUAACAAUACGCACAUUAAAAUUCAGUUCAAGAGAAGUCCGAGUCUGAUGUCAGAAGAUGUAACCAAAGAAAAUAAACAAAAUGACAAUAAUACAUAAAUAACAACAGACUACUAGCAGUUAACUGACAUGCCAGCUCCAGACUUCAAUUAAACUGACUGAAAGAUUAUGAUUUCAUCAUAUGAACAUCAGGCACAAUCCUUCCCGUUAGGGGUUUAGUAUCAUACCAUCAUAACAUAUAUGAGAAGAACAUAACCCGUGUCAUGCCAACAACUGUAUACUCAAUAGUCAAUAGUGAGUUUAUUAAAUACAUGUCAAACUUUUGUACUCAAGGUAGUUUUACUAUGCAGUGGUGGAUCCAGCCAUUUGAAAAAGGGGAGGUUCCCAACCCAGGACAAAGGGGGGGGGUCCAACUAUAUGUCCCCAUUCAAAUGCAUUGAUCGUCCAAAAAAAGGGGGUGUUCCAACCCCGAAACCCUCCCCCUGGAUCCGCCACUGCUAUUACAAGAAUAAGAAGGUCUUUCAAUUAAAAAAUAACAUAAAAUUAAAAGUUCCAAUUUGGUCUUCAUAUUCGCUUACCUUUAGCACAUUUUAUUUGCAAUUUGAAUUGGUAAUCUGGUUUUAUCAUUUAAGCAUUAGUUAAAAUCUAUUAAAAUAAAAAACAAGGUUUAAAUUUAUCUAAUUUAUACUUAGGGCCAAUAGCGGUUAAACCAUCCAUUCAUGCAUGCAUGAUUGAGGGGAAGGGUAAAUUUCUAAAUCAUAUGUGUAUAAAACAUAUUACAUCAACUGAACCCUAACCCAUUCACGUAUUACUAACUCCUCUAGUUUUUUUCUUUCAAUAUUAUCAUGUGUAUUCCAGAAUUUAUUAUUGUUUCACUUUCAAUUAGUACCUUGUUUAAAAUAUUCUUAAAAAGUUUUUCUUUUCUUUUAAUUUAGAAGAACACUUUUGAAGACAAAUACAAAGAUUGCAGAAGGGUAGGUAUAACUGUAUAUAAAAAGUCAUACAAUUUAUAAAAUGUCUCCUAAACUUGACUUUUUAAGAUAUCUUGUAAAAGUAUUAAGAUAUCUUGUAAAAGUAUUAAGAUAUCUUGUAUAAUAUAUUUUAUAUCGUUCAUAAACUUUACAAGAUAUAUCUCAUAAACUUCAGAAGAUAUAAGAUUUUCAAGAUAUCCAAUUAGGAGAUAAUUGUAUUGAAUUUGAAGAUUUGGAGCCAUCAAUCAUGGAUUUGAUGGUUGCAAAUUGAGUUAACUGGCGAUGUGCAUACGGAGCCAGUAAUCAGAUAUUUGUGACCAUCAAAUAAAAAAACAGGGAUAUAACUAGUGAGCAAUGUUUUAUAUUGUUUCUAUCAGAAUUCAUUAAGUAUCCAAUCUUUUGUAGGCACUUGAUUAAGUACCAGGGAAACCUUAAAGUGUGGACACAAUCCUUGAUUUAGAUGUCACCAAGAAUAAAGAAGCAAUCACCAAUAUUACAAGUUUUACACAACUUGAGAUUUGAGAGCAGUCAUUUGAGGAUGUGGCAGGCAUAUAAUAUUGGUGAAGGUAUAACAUUUAUAUUUAACAUAAAAAAAAACAGAAAUCAGAUUACAAAUAACAUGUAGUUUUAUACAUAACACAAUCACUGAAAAUACAGGG